RNAcentral lists this microRNA precursor (67 nucleotides) under Bombyx mori (domestic silkworm). RNAcentral's name for it is "mir-2774 microRNA precursor family". It matches the Rfam family "mir-2774 microRNA precursor family". Lineage: Eukaryota; Metazoa; Arthropoda; Insecta; Lepidoptera; Bombycidae. The record is from Rfam by way of RNAcentral.
ACAACAUUCAGAAUGUCGGUCUACCGAGCAAUUUCACCCGCUCGGUGAAAGACCUUACCUUUGUCGU